CCUACGGGAGGCAGCAGUGGGGAAUUUUGGACAAUGGGCGCAAGCCUGAUCCAGCCAUGCCGCGUGUGUGAAGAAGGCCUUCGGGUUGUAAAGCACUUUCGGCCGGAACGAAAUCGCGCGGGUUAAUAGUCUGCGUGGAUGACGGUACCGGAAGAAGAAGCACCGGCUAACUACGUGCCAGCAGCCGCGGUAAUACGUAGGGUGCGAGCGUUAAUCGGAAUUACUGGGCGUAAAGGGUGCGCAGGCGGCGUCGCAAGUCAGGCGUGAAAUCCCCGGGCUUAACCUGGGAAUGGCACUUGAAACUACGAUGCUGGAGUAUGGCAGAGGGAGGUGGAAUUCCACGUGUAGCGGUGAAAUGCGUAGAGAUGUGGAGGAACACCGAUGGCGAAGGCAGCCUCCUGGGCCAAUACUGACGCUCAUGCACGAAAGCGUGGGGAGCAAACAGGAUUAGAUACCCUGGUAGUCCACGCCCUAAACGAUGAUGACUAGUUGUUGGAGGAGUUAAAUCCUUUAGUAACGCAGCUAACGCGAGAAGUCAUCCGCCUGGGGAGUACGGUCGCAAGAUUAAAACUCAAAGGAAUUGACGG
RNAcentral lists this ribosomal RNA (587 nucleotides) under uncultured bacterium. RNAcentral describes it as "bacterial SSU rRNA". It matches the Rfam family "Bacterial small subunit ribosomal RNA", at positions 338 to 916 of the family's 1533-position model. The record is from RNAcentral.